Molecule: ribosomal RNA, 255 nt
Filed under: Isochrysis galbana
Lineage: Eukaryota; Haptophyta; Isochrysidales; Isochrysidaceae
Description: partial Bacterial small subunit ribosomal RNA
Rfam family: Bacterial small subunit ribosomal RNA
Source: RNAcentral
GGCCUAACACAUGCAAGUCGAGCGAUCUCUUCGGAGAUAGCGGCGGACGGGUGAGUAACGCGUGGGAACAUACCCAGAGGUACGGAACAACAGUUAGAAAUGACUGCUAAUACCGUAUACGCCCUACGGGGGAAAGAAUUUCGCCUUUGGAUUGGCCCGCGUUGGAUUAGAUAGUUGGUGGGGUAACGGCCUACCAAGUCGACGAUCCAUAGCUGGUUUGAGAGGAUGAUCAGCCACACUGGGACUGAGACACGG